This 498-nucleotide ribosomal RNA is filed under the name uncultured bacterium. RNAcentral describes it as "partial 16S ribosomal RNA". It matches the Rfam family "Bacterial small subunit ribosomal RNA", at positions 28 to 523 of the family's 1533-position model. The record is from RNAcentral.
GAUGAACGCUAGCGGCAGGCUUAACACAUGCAAGUCGAGGGGCAGCACGGACUUCGGUCUGGUGGCGACCGGCAAACGGGUGCGGAACACGUACACAAUCUACCUUUAUCUGGGGUAUAGCCCGAAGAAAUUCGGAUUAAUCCCCCAUAAUAUAUUAGAGUGGCAUCACUUCGAUAUUAAAACUCCGGUGGAUAAAGAUGAGUGUGCGUCCCAUUAGCUAGUUGGUAGGGUAACGGCCUACCAAGGCAACGAUGGGUAGCUGGUGUGAGAGCACGACCAGCCACACGGGCACUGAGACACGGGCCCGACUCCUACGGGAGGCAGCAGUGAGGAAUAUUGGUCAAUGGACGCAAGUCUGAACCAGCCAUGCCGCGUGAAGGAUGAAGGCCUUCUGGGUUGUAAACUUCUUUUAUUGGGGAAGAAAAUUACGGUUUCUACUGUAACCGACGGUACCCAAGGAAUAAGCACCGGCUAACUCCGUGCCAGCAGCCGCAGUAA